CUGCCGUGACCACGUUAAUGCCGGCGGGUAACACAUCUGUUACUCUAUCCGCUAGCUGCGAUAAUUCUUCAAGGUCGUACUUGGUAGCUGUCAAAAUGGCUUGCACCUGCUGCGGUAGUCGUUGUAACCACAAGGAUUUAAGCACUUUUUCGGAUACACCGGAUUGUGCAAGGUCUCGCAUUCGUCUAAGUAAUUGCGACGGGCGGCGAUCACCCAGAUCGAUCUCGUUUAAUAGUCUACGCAGUUUCUUUUCAGCGCUGUCCGCGAAACUUUUAAUUAACCUGUCCUUAAGCGCAUGAUAUUUGUCCGCCGCGGGAAGAUUAAGCACAAUAUCGCUAACCUCAGCUAAACAAGCUUUGUCGAGGCAUUGUAUCAUCGUAAUUAUACUUCGUUAUCGUCUACUGUUAUAUUCGCGGUAAAGAACUGAGCUUCCAUCUGCACGAACCAUAGAUCCGGCUUCGAUUUCCAAAACGGAUCUAAUACCGACUCGCGCGAGUGCGGGAACCUCUAUUACACGCGACGAUACACUGUUUUCUUGGUCGCCCGACGGCGGGUCGCCUGAGCCACUAGCCAUGACUAUUCGUUACAUGUACGCGUUGAUUAGGUUGAAAAUUUUUUACAGCGUAACGCGCCGUGAUCACGUCGGGGUCACCAACUGUGGCUAUUACGUUGUCGUGCUGGCCAAUCACUGGCGUAUUUCGACUGGCGGGAAAUAGAGAGUUAUAAUGAAUGUUUAAGCAGCUAGGCUUUACAUAAAAUAGUUUGCUUUAGUAAAAUCGCCAAGACAAAUAAACUCCACGAGUACGUGGACGUGAUCGCGUGCUUACAGCUCGAGCCUCAACGGCUAUGAUUCGAGGUUAGCUCUCGGGAACUUAUAGGCCUACUGUACGAGAGUAGUAGAGUCUACGCGAAUAUGGGUACAGGUAUCUGAGCUAACAUCACAAAUGAUCCCGGAGAAUUGAUUAGGAAAUAGAUUAAUCUUACUAAAUAAAACUUAGGAAAUAUUACGCUAUCGCUUGCGAACGUUCGCAUCAGGUACGCCAUGCACGGAGAGAGAGAGAGGGAGAGAGCGCACAAAAACGGAACAAACCAGCGCCGCCGCUAGCGCUACACUUUCCUAGAGUCCCUAGAAGUAGAGAGUCUGGACAUUUCGGGGUUCCAUGUGAUUGUUCACCUAAAAUGGCAGCACCAAUACGGAUCCUUGUUUAAUCCUCUUUAGCCAAUGCGAUAACAAUAUACAAUACGUUCAAGUGCACACAAUGAUAAACAUACACACACAUAAAGCUCACGUACAUACACUAACAUAUUCAUUACCGACAUUUUAGGGGCAGAUGUCCAGACUCUCUACUUCUAGGGACUCUACACUUUCCCGCCCGCUCGCGCCAUCUGUCGCCCACUCUUACACAUAGAUGUAUACGCAUCGCACUCGCUCGCACACCAUACGCAUACCCACGCUCGCACUCGACUGAUCCUCCUACACUAGUUAAAAAGUAAAUCAUUAAAAACGAAGUAAAUUAAAAAUUAUUAAUUUUUUAACUUUAUUAUUUAACUUUUAACUUUUCACUUUCUAUCCUUUCACUUACUAUCCAAUCCUGCAAAAAAAUUAGUAUUUUGGAUAUAAUUGCAAUAAGAUAUUUUUUAUUUUUAAUGUUUAUUUUUUUUUUUAAUAGUACGUAAUAGCGGCUGUGCAUUGGCGAAAAAGAAGAUAUUUUAAUAAAAACGUGUAUUGUAACUUUACAUCUGAUGGAAAAAUUGAUAACGUUGAAAUAUUCGCAUAUGCCAGUUAUGGUCUAGUCAAAUACAGACGAACAGAAAAAGAAAGGGGCUUUAUUAGAAAGUAACGCAAAAAAUUUAAUUGUAUUCUCAAAAAUACAGCACUAUGGUUUCUAUAAAUCCAUACAUAACUAUGUUUUUAUAUCUGUAAUAACUUAGACAUUAAUUAUUAUAAUUUGAAAACUUCAAAUCGAUUUAGACAUCCCUAACACUUUUUCUUUCAAGCGGUCACUUUAGGAUACUGAAAUAAAUAUGCGAGAAAAACAAAAAAUGACCAGUCAGAGGAAAAUUUUUUAUUAUUGCAAUAAACGCAUGGUAUGUUGUAGAGCUUAUUGUAGAAAUAAAAUUAUAAAUUAAUUUUGCAUUCUAGUUCUGGACAUGCUUCACGUACCAUUGUGAGGCCUAAAAGAUACAUAACAUUAUCAUCGGAGAAUGAGCUCUUACAAAAGCGUAAAAAUGUUAAUGUACGCACCAAGAAGAUUAUUCAUGCAAAUAUGGAUAAAGAAAUUGAAAUUAUCAAAGAAACAUUGAAAAAAGUUUCUUCAAGCACAAAUGCCACUGAUGCAAAUAAAAAAAUGCUUGAAUCCGAACAACAGAUAACAUCUAAGCCUAUACAGCAUACUCAAGUUUUCGCAGUGGAAAGUAAUCAUACAAAUAAUUCUCAGACACAUUUAAGAGAGACUUCUAGUACACAGUCGCACAAUACACUAAUUGGUUGUACCAAUGAUCAGCAGGUUGAAAUAUGUGGCAUAAAGCCGUACAGUUCGAUAAGUACUUGCAGAACGGAAGGUUCAGAACGAUACAGUCCGUACACUUACACGCAGCUUGUACCUAGUACAGCGACAUAUGCUUUUGAGGCGUCAAGAACUGCCGCAAGCAAUGUUGCAUUCCCUAUUGAAUAUUCUAGCUCCAAUAAAGUGGAUUAUUCCAACACAAUAAGAUUAUGAAAAUCCUACCGUUAAUAUCGAGAAUGUCUGAAUCUUCUCAAGGAACCUUAAGGCCACCGAUGUCGCAUACUAUAACAUCGUCCCAAUAUACAGGCUUUUCACAGAACCAAAACUAUGGAAAUUCUAAACGGAUAUCGUGUGGCUCGGCACCUCCGUGAAGUUGGCACCCGACUUUUACGAAAUCAAAUUUAAAAGUUGAAUAUUUCCAAUUUUGGGAGGGGGGGGGGUUGGACCCUUCACGAUGCUGUAAAAUAUUGCUUUAAAGAGAGUUUGUCAGACGAGGCUAUACGCCACUUUUCUGCAUGGGGAGAGGGGGAAAUUUUCCAUUAUCAACGACAAAAUUAAUUAAAGCUAUAUAUGAUGCAAUUUCUGGAAAUACUAAUUUUCCGCAGCCAACACGCAAAGAAUUUUUCAGAGAAAUUGGGGAAGCGGUACGUUUCGGUAAAUAAAGAUAUCGUAAUACGAUUAACCGAAAAUCAG
Solenopsis invicta (red fire ant) is the source of this 3200-nucleotide long non-coding RNA. RefSeq lists it as uncharacterized. The transcript has 3 exons. Lineage: Eukaryota; Metazoa; Arthropoda; Insecta; Hymenoptera; Formicidae. The record is from RefSeq and is a predicted model, not a curated record.